UGGACCUACGGGGGGCAGCAGUGAGGAAUAUUGGUCAAUGGCCGAGAGGCUGAACCAGCCAAGUCGCGUGAGGGAUGACGGCCCUACGGGUUGUAAACCUCUUUUGUCGGGGAGCAAGACCCGCCACGAGUGGCGGAGCGAGAGUACCCGAAGAAAAAGCAUCGGCUAACUCCGUGCCAGCAGCCGCGGUAAUACGGAGGAUGCGAGCGUUAUCCGGAUUUAUUGGGUUUAAAGGGUGCGCAGGCGGCGAGUUAAGUCAGCGGUAAAAUUUCGGGGCUCAACCCCGACGAGCCGUUGAAACUGGG
RNAcentral lists this ribosomal RNA (305 nucleotides) under uncultured bacterium. Its description in RNAcentral is "bacterial SSU rRNA". It matches the Rfam family "Bacterial small subunit ribosomal RNA", at positions 332 to 637 of the family's 1533-position model. The record is from RNAcentral.